RNAcentral lists this long non-coding RNA (519 nucleotides) under Hordeum vulgare. RNAcentral's name for it is "long non-coding RNA (HVUL_LNC013748)". The record is from RNAcentral. Lineage: Eukaryota; Viridiplantae; Streptophyta; Magnoliopsida; Poales; Poaceae.
AGAAUAAUGACCAAGCAUACCACACAUGAUCAUAUCACACGAGCGGGAAAGAUGGCCGGAUGGCGAUGCCGCAGAUCCCCUCGGGCUUGUCUAUGAUGCCCUUCUUCAUUCUGAGGUAUCCGUUGUCACCCCACUUCUCACCCCAUGAGUUUUUCACGAUCCAGUAACUCUCCCGAGUCACCUCGUCCUUCCCGUACCCGACCACCGUGACUCCAUGGUUCAGCCGCGUCCCGCAUGGACCAUUGUACACGCCAUUCCGGUAGUGCUGGAAGUUGGCUCCGCCAGCCUCGAUCGACACCGCCACGGGUUGCAUGGCCACCGCGUUUGUCAAUGAUAGCUCGCUCCUCGUCGCCACACGUUGGAAGCCUGAGAUGGAAGCGGCAUGGUGUGAAAGCUUUGUGGUGUCACAAGUGUCGUCCUUUGCCGUAUAUGGAUAGUCGUCCUGAGAGGUGAUGCCGCCGUUGGAGGUGAUCCACUGUAGCGCACGAUAGCUCACUCCACCGUUGCAACCAUGGUCCA